Molecule: ribosomal RNA, 415 nt
Filed under: uncultured bacterium
Lineage: Bacteria
Description: bacterial SSU rRNA
Rfam family: Bacterial small subunit ribosomal RNA
Source: RNAcentral
UCAGCAGCCGCGGUAAAACGUAGGAGGCAAGCGUUAUCCGGAUUUACUGGGCGUAAAGCGCGUGCAGGCGGUCGCAUAAGUGGGAUGUGAAAGCUCCCGGCUCAACUGGGAGAGGUCGUUCCAGACUGUGCGACUAGAGGAUGGUAGAGGGAGGUGGAAUUCCGGGUGUAGUGGUGAAAUGCGUAGAUAUCCGGAGGAACACCAGUGGCGAAAGCGGCCUCCUGGACCAUAUCUGACGCUCAGACGCGAAAGCUAGGGUAGCAAACGGGAUUAGAGACCCCGGUAGUCCUAGCUGUAAACGAUGUAGACUUGGCGUCGGUGGGUUUAAAUCCAUCGGUGCCGGAGCCAACGCGAUAAGUCUACCGCCUGGGGACUACGGCCGCAAGGUUAAAACUUAAAGGAAUUGGCGGGGGAU